This 24-nucleotide unclassified non-coding RNA is filed under the name Mus musculus (house mouse). RNAcentral's name for it is "oocyte_clustered_small_RNA454". Lineage: Eukaryota; Metazoa; Chordata; Mammalia; Rodentia; Muridae. The record is from RNAcentral.
UGAAACCUGGGAUUGGUGAUACUU